Molecule: ribosomal RNA, 253 nt
Filed under: uncultured bacterium
Lineage: Bacteria
Description: partial 16S ribosomal RNA
Rfam family: Bacterial small subunit ribosomal RNA
Source: RNAcentral
UACGAAGGGGACUAGCGUUGUUCGGAAUUACUGGGCGUAAAGGGCCAGUAGGCGGCCAACUAAGUCCGACGUGAAAUCCCAAGGCUUAACCUUGGAACUGCGUCGGAUACUGGAUGGCUUGAAUUCGGGAGAGGGAUGCAGAAUUCCAGGUGUAGCGGUGAAAUGCGUAGAUAUCUGGAGGAAUACCGGUGGCGAAGGCGGCAUCCUGGACCGACAUUGACGCUGAACGGCGAAAGCUAGGGGAGCAAACGGG